RNAcentral lists this ribosomal RNA (632 nucleotides) under uncultured bacterium. RNAcentral describes it as "bacterial SSU rRNA". It matches the Rfam family "Bacterial small subunit ribosomal RNA", at positions 28 to 653 of the family's 1533-position model. The record is from RNAcentral.
AUUGAACGCUGGCGGAAUGCCUUACACAUGCAAGUCGGACGGCAGCGGGCCCUUCGGGGUGCCGGCGAGUGGCGAACGGGUGAGUAAUACAUCGGAACGUACCCUCUGGUGGGGGAUAACCCGUCGAAAGACGGGCUAAUACCGCAUGAGCUCUGAGGAGGAAAGCGGGGGACCGCGAGGCCUUGCGCCAGAGGAGCGGCCGAUGUCCGAUUAACUAGUUGGUGGGGUAAAGGCCUACCAAGGCGACGAUCGGUAGCGGGUCUGAGAGGACCGCCCGCCACACUGGGACUGAAACACGGCCCAUACUCCUACGGGAGGCAGCAGUGGGGAAUUUUGGACGAUGGGGGCAACCCUGAUCCAGCCAUUCCGCGUGAGUGAAGAACGCCUUCGGGUUGUAAAGCUCUUUCGGCAGGAACGAAACGGUGGGCUCUAACAGAGUCUGCUAAUGACGGUACCUGAAGAAGAAGCACCGGCUAACUACGUGCCAGCAGCCGCGGUAAUACGUAGGGUGCGAGCGUUAAUCGUAAUUACUGGGCGUACAGCGUGCGCAGGCUGUUUUUGUAAGACAGAUGUGAAAUCCGCCGGGCUUAACCUGAGAACUGCGUUUGUGACUGCAAAGCUAGAGUGCGGCA